AGCGAACGCUGGCGGCAGGCCUAAUACAUGCAAGUCGAACGGCUCUUCGGAGCAGUGGCGGACGGGUGAGUAACACGUGGGAACGUGCCCUGUGGUACGGAACAGCUGAGGGAAACUUCAGCUAAUACCGUAUGUGCCCCCAUUCUUAGCGGGAUGGGUGGGAAAGAUUUAUCGCCAUUGGAGCGGCCCGCGUUGGAUUAGCUAGUUGGUGGGGUAAGGGCCCACCAAGGCUACGAUCCAUAGCUGGUCUGAGAGGAUGAUCAGCCACACUGGGACUGAGACCCUGCCCAUACUCCUCCGGGAGGCAGCAGUAGGGAAUCUUGCGCAAUGGGCGAAAGCCUGACGCAGCCAUGCCGCGUGAAUGAUGAAGGUCUUAGGAUUGUAAAAUUCUUUCACCGGGGAAGAUAAUGACGGUACCCGGAGAAGAAGCCCCGGCUAACUUCGUGCCAGCAGCCGCAGUAA
This 462-nucleotide ribosomal RNA is filed under the name uncultured bacterium. Its description in RNAcentral is "partial 16S ribosomal RNA". It matches the Rfam family "Bacterial small subunit ribosomal RNA", at positions 29 to 523 of the family's 1533-position model. The record is from RNAcentral.